RNAcentral lists this long non-coding RNA (6692 nucleotides) under Cimex lectularius (bed bug). RNAcentral describes it as "uncharacterized LOC112126993". Lineage: Eukaryota; Metazoa; Arthropoda; Insecta; Hemiptera; Cimicidae. The record is from RNAcentral.
AAAUAUCAGCAUUUAUUACAUCAAAUACAACAUACUACAUUUUGUGUGUGUGUGUGUGUGUGUGUUUUUGGAAUAUAGCUAUCUUUACACAUCUUCAGUGCUUGGUUUUAUACUAUUAUGGGUAUAACAUUACAAAAAAACCCUAGAUGCCCAAAUUUUAAAAUGCAUUUGACAUAUUAGUAAAGAAAAAAUAGACGAAAAAAGUUUCAUCAGUUAGCCUUACCAAAAUGUAUUUUGAUUACAUGAAAAUUUUAUUUGUGUAAGAUUGCCAAAAUGACAUUGACAAUGACAACGUAUAAAGAACAUGGAACUUGUUAUGAGGAAAAUAAAACGUUGAUUAGAAACAUCUAUCUACUGGAUGGUUAUAACUAGAGCCCAGAUUUAUACACAAUAAAAAUCCUCAAAUAUGCAUUUAAGAUCCACUAAAAAAAACCUAAAAAAUAUGCAAUAUUAUACUAACAAACCUUCAGAUAUGUCAUAUGCACUAAAAAUGUUAACAUAUGCAGGAUACCUGAUUAAUAAUUAACUUUUUUUUAUACUAGACAUUUUUUGGUUUAGUACAUAUUCAUUUUGAAAGGAAAUAGAACAGAAAAGUUUCAGUGUCACAACAAAAUCAAAUAAUUUAAAAUAUUGUACAAAAUAAAUAAUUUAGUUUAAGUUCAUGAUCUGAACUAAAUUGACAAUAAUAUACAUUUCAAAGUUAGUUUCUGUAAAACUACAGCGUUUAUCUCUCAAAAAAUAUUUGUGCUUUGAAAAAAUCUUUUCAACGUUGACAGAGGUAAUGGGAGCAGACUUGUGUACUUCCUGCAGAACAAGUUGCUUACAUUUAAGAUUUCAGUCAAUCUGGUAUUUUUGACAAGGAUGCUUUUUAAUUUAAUUUGUAAUAUAAUUAAAAGAGGAUUGACGUUGAUUAUUUUUGUGUUUCGAAUGGGGCCUCUAUUUCAUUCCACAACCUGACUACUUAAGAAAUAUUAAUUUUUCAAGAAAGGAAAAAAACUGCACCGUGAAGUUUUGGAAAUGCCAAUUAUUUCGUUUGCUCCUGGAAAGUUAAUGGAAGUCCAAAUCAAAUUUUAGGUACUUGUCUUUUUCUUCUCAUGCUCUUUAGUUUCCUGGUUUAUUUUUCUAAGUAAUCAAAAAUUAUUAAAAUGUGUAAUGUUAUUCAAAAAUGCAAAUUUCAAUAUUCUUCAAAUAUGAAAAAAUAUGCAGGAUAAAAUUAGAACCAGUGUACCACGGAGGCAUGAUUUGGAUAAAAUCACCACGGUUGUAAAUGUUUACAAAAAAUAUGAGAUUGACUAAAAAUCUAGGCUGUAGUUAUAACAAUUAAUAAAUAUAAAUGUUAAAAAUAAAAGCAGAUAUCAGAGACAUAAAAAAAGCUUUUAUAUUAUAACACAGAAAGUAAUAAGGACAUCAGGUAAUUUGUAAAGAUACUAAGAAUCAAGAUGUAGAGAUAUUGUGUAAAACGUAUCAACAGUGUAUAACAAAUGAAAUAAUUAUCUCAAUAUAAUUGGUAUCAGCCUUUAAUAUUGUAAUUUUUAAUUAAAAAACAGUGAUAGGUCAAUUUGAAAAAAGAAAGAAAAACACUGUUUCUUUGUAAAACAUUUGAAGAUUAAACACCCUUCAUCUGAAGUUUAAAACUAUUAUUAUUAAUUCAUAAGUUUAACAAAAAUGAACAUCUUACGAUACUGAAACUUAUAUUGAAUUUCUGAGUUGAUAGCGGAACACGAUCUACAACCCUCCAUUCUAAAUCAGAAUCUAUUUACUAUCACUGUUUCAAUUAUGCCAUGCAAAUUGAAAAAAGUUUAUUAAAUCAUUUUUUCCUAAGAUAUAUUUUUCUUUUCAUAGAUUAUGAAAAAAAAUUAAUUAUACAGAGAAUUAUAUUUUACAGUAUUUUUGGCAAACUGAAAAUGUUUGUUUACAUAUAGUUAUAGUUUUGAGUGUGAUAAUUUUUUCGUUAAUUAGUUAUUAGCUAUUAAAGCUAUUAAAGAACUAAACUUCCAAUGAAAGCUCCUGUCUUAAAGAAAGGUAGAAGUUAUUAGGAAACUAUAUUUAUUAUAUAGUUAUUGGUAUCAUUUGGCAAUAUUUUUGGAAAAUAAUUCACGCAAAAGUUCUGAAAUGUGAUUUUUAACGUUCAAAACCAUUUCUUACAUGUUUUCUAGCGGAAAAUUACCGCACAGCCAUUGACGAAAAUGAAGAUGAUCCAGGAGAAAAUCAAUUUAUAUUUAGAUUGGCAAGCCGCCCUCAGCAGUGUCGAGAAUUAAUGACUUCCGGGUAGGUCGUCCUUCUAACACUUCUUCCUUGGACCUAGUAAUUACGAUUCAGCGGAUUUCGAUUUUUAAAGUCUUCGUGCUUAACUGCUCGUCCAGACUCAAUGUCAAUGUAAAAAAAGAGAUCAGACAAGCAUCCUAUUAGAAAACAAGUUCUACUUCGGAGAAAGUGAACAGGAUUAUCUGUGUUAAAUUCUUGGGUAGGAGGGUAGUCAAACUAAAACAUAUGUACAUCCAAAACGAAAAAAUAAAGUCUAAAGUCUCAAAAGACUCGUUUAGUAAAUAUAAUUUAUUUAUAAAGUAGGGAGAUUUUAGCAUUUAGGAUUUUUUUCUUCCCCAGAUGCAUUUUUACUUACUUAAAAUUUCUUCCACGCAAAUAUCUAAAAUUGAUCAAGAAAUUUAGAACCGUAAUCGUUAGUUGAAAAACGUCGAAAACUGGUUUACAAUUACUUUGGGUGGACGAUACAUCGGAAAAAUAAAAAAGCAAUUAGACCUAAAUAAUGGCCAAGCUUUGAAAAGCUAGACGGAAAACUUUUCGAUUUGGCGAAAUUCAGUAGAGACCCGACGAUUCAAACCCAUAAAAAUAAAUCAAAACGAAUUAAGUCCAUUUCCGGACAAAGCAGGUUUAUCCGGCGUCCUAUAAUGUAUUAAAGAUAGACGUGCUCGACCUACAUAUGUAUAAAAAAUUAACUUUAGUUUGGGGUAAAAUAACGACGUCAAAAAUUUGGUUGGGAGAGGCCCAAUUAAAUAUUUGUACGGAAUGUCAAUUUAGGAUCGUAUUUGAAAAAUUCGUAUUUGAAUUAGCCUGGAGCAUUGUGUUUUCUAACGGGAAUUAAAUCAGACUUGACACCAGGAAGAUUUCCUAAGUUAUUUGCCUUAUUAAUCACAGGAAUAUAAUAAUUUACCAGGUCUUAACUCAAGAAUAACAAAGUGCAACAAAGAUUUAUGAGAAUACUAAAGUUACAUGGAAUUCUUCUACCUAAAACUGCACCAAAUAUCUAGACCGCAUAAAAGAGAAAUUUUAUCUGGUUUACCAGACUAUUGACCUAAAAAACAACCUCAACAGGUUUAUUCGAUGCUAUUAAUUAUAAAUUGGAUGAAAUAGUUUCGCGUAAAAAAUUAGAUAUUUGUAUUUUUGUAUAAAUUACGUAUACAAUAGGCUUAUUCGUUAAAAAAUUAAUUUACCAGGUGUAUAUAAAUUUUAUUUACAAGUUUGUCCAAAAGCCUUCUAGCUACGAUCAUAUUUAGUUUGGUCGUUUCCGAUCAUUUUUUUGUUCUUCCUUUAUUCAUUGUUUUGUCAGAUGUUAAUCGGCCGCUAGCUAUCCUUAGUGAAGGCCAAUCAGAAAGGAUGGCCAGACUAAAAAACUGCUGUCAAGCUUCAUGGAAUGUGAAAGUUGCUUUCCAUGUUUAACCAAGUAAAUGAAUUUUUCAUGCAUUAAUGAAAAAAUCAAACUUGUAUUUUUGUGGGAACUUUGUGAUCUGAAUUGUGGCGAAUCCGUGGUUUGAUCGCUUCCGAUCAUUUCAUCUGACUGCUUUCGAUGUUGUUUUGCGUUUCCGCAACUCGCCUCUUCAGUGAUCAGAGAUAGUGCCUCACCCUGCUUAUAACCCUGAUGUACCACUCAUGAUGGCGAUAUGCCAAAACGCAUCUGGCAGACGAAAACAGCAAGGAUAUGCAGAACAAGAGUUCGUCCUCACCGACUUCGAGAAGAAAUCUUACAACCAAACCAAUUUUUUUUUCUUUUUUUUUGCCGGCUCACAGGCCGGCGCCCCACAUCGCCUGCUCACAUUUGUCUUCUUUGCUAUCUUAUCUUUUCUGAGUCUUCUUAUGCCCACCUAAUAGGAGAUUCGUUAUCUUGUUUGUUGUUACCCUCCCACACGUGAUAAAUUAAAAUCACACUAAUAAAUACAUUCAAACGGUAUUUAAAAAAUUCCACUCAUACACUAAACUAUCCUAAUCUAAAUUGUUUGACGGGCCUGUGGAGUACUCGUUAUUCUUCGACAGCCAUGUCCUUUCACGCAUUACCAAUCACGCUAAUAAAUACAUUCAUUCAGGACAGGCCACUACACCUCGGAAGAUAGUACCAACGAAAUGCCAAUGACCCGUCCCCCGUACUUGAUAUUCCGUCACAGCCACACCCAAGCAUACUUAGACAUUCACGCAAAUAAAUACAUUCUUACAAAUAGGGGGGAUAUACCACGUGUAUAUAGCCAUACGCAUUGAUUAAUUUUAGGUAAUCAGUGACCUUUCGUUUAUAAUUUCUGUUGUGCUUUUAAGUACUUUUGUUAUGUCAUUGGGAAGGCCACAUUGCGGCGCUAGUUGUUCGCAUUCUUCUAAAAUAUGUCUUACUGUUACAGUUGCGCCGCACAUGGGGCAUUUCCUCGGUAUCUUGCCGAUGAGAUGUCCAUGUGUUAGGCGGGUAUGGCCUAUCCUUAAUCGUGUAAGUACAAUUCUUUCUUUCUGAAAAUUUCAUGGAUUUCAGGUUUGACUGUCGGUUUUAUCACCUUUAGUUUUUCAUUCAGGGCGUUCCAUCUGUUUUGCCAUUCAUUCCAGCUUAAUUGUUUCAAGGAAUUUUUAAUAUCCGCCGGUCUAACCAGAGUGUCCGGGUCAUGCGGCAUUUUCGAUGCUUCUUUCGCCGCUUUGUCGGCCUCUUCGUUUCCUUUAAGGCCGACGUGACCCGGAAUCCAGAGGAAGAUAAUUUCGCACUUAUUUUCUGCUAAUAUAUUCACGUUUUUAUAAACUGUUCACACUAAUGGGUUCACAGAAAUUUUUUUUUGUAUGGCUGAAACUGCACUUAAGGAAUCUGUGCAAACUGCGAAUUUUUUAUCCGGCAGGUUAAUAUCUUGUCUUAGUGCAGAUGAUAUGGCGGUCAUUUAUGCUGUGUAUAUGCUGGCCGUACUCGGGAGAGCGAUCUGUAUGCUGCGUUCCUGUAUAUAAAUCCCGCAGCCUACCCCACCGGCGCUUUUCGGUCCGUCAGUAAAUAUAAAAAGUGCACAACAAAAUUCUUCUUUUAAAGAUGAGAACAUUGAUUUAUACACGUAAGAGGGGGGUCUCCUCCUUUUUCUUCAUUGCCAUAUCGAUCUGAACAAUGGGUGAUGGAAGCGUCCACGGAUCCAUUUUUGGUUCGAUGACCGGUAGGACAUUAUCCAUGCUCGCACUCCUCGAAGUUAUUAGUUCUUGCAACCUUACACCCAUCGGUCUUGUACGGGUCCUCAUCCGAGCGUACUCACCUGCCUUAUUUUCGUUGUAUAACACCCGGUGGAGGAAAUGAGAAGGUCUCGCCCAUAUGCUUCCACAAUAGCUCAGCAUGAGUUGAUUUCUCUUUUCACCGGGAGGUAACACACCGGCCUCAACGCAUAGACAAUUGAUAGGGCUUGUUCUAAAGGUUCCAGUUGCAAUCCUUAAGCCUGCAAUAUACACUUUAUCCAAUAAUUUUAACCUGUUUUUCCUAGCCGAGGAAUAGACCAUGCAGCCAUAGUUUAGUUUAGAGAACAACAGUGAUUUAAAUAUCAUCAGCAGAACUUCUCUUGUUGCUCCCCAUUUACAGUUGUUUAACAAUUUCAUUAUAUUCAGGGUUUUCUUGCUUCGGGAUGCUGUGUAAUCUAUGUGCAGUUGCCAGCUUAAUUUGGAGACAAAUAACGGCCGAGGUAUUUUAUUGAUUCAACAUACUCCAAAGACUGUCCGUUCAUUGUUAAAAGGGGGGUGUAUGUUCCCUCCUCUGUCUGCAGAAAUGCACGACUUUUGUUUUAGACCUGGAGAAUGUAAACCCAACCAACGUUCGCGGCCUGUGUGACAACCGUAUCUAUUGCCUCUUGUAUUUUCACCCCGAUAUCGUCAACAUCUGUUCCGCUUGGGAGAAUAUUUAGAUUGUCAACGGAUAGUGAUUUAAUGAGAGGUGAUCUUAUUUUGUCGGCUAUAUUAUUUACAGCUAUCCCGAAGAGGGUUACGAAAAGGACCUGGGAGAUUCCAUUUGCUUGAGUAUAUUCUUUCGAUAGAGUUGUUCCUAAUCGUACUCUAAAUUUUCUUUCGUUGAGAAAGUUUUUAAUAAAUUUGAUGAUUUUCCCCCUAAGCCCCCAUUUAUAACAUUUUCUUAUAAUUCCGUUCUCCACGUUGUAUCAUAGGCCUUCUCUAAGUCAAAGAAUACAGCAGUGUUCUCUUUUUAGGAAUGCUCCUUGUACUGCAUCCUCGAGAAGGCCUGCCUGAUCGACAGCUGAGUAGCCCCGUCGGAACCCAGCUUGAUAAGAGCUGGAGUCCUUUGUAUUCCAGGUACCACACCAGCCGCCGAUUUACUAUUCCUUCCAUUAUUUUACCGACACACGAUGUGAGAGAUAUUGGCCGGUAGCUUUCAGGGGCGCUAAGAUCUUUUCCGGCUUUAUGAAUUGGCAUAACGAUAGCGGUUUUCCAAUUAUUCGGGUAUACUCCUGAAGUCC